CAGCAACUCGUCCAAAUCAAAAUCACUUCUAUUGAAAAAAGCAAACCCUACCCCCUCUUCUCCCCUUCUCUCGACGGCGCCACCAUGCCGCCUCCGCCCUCAACCCUAGCCGCCAGGGCAACAACAGUAGCACCGCAGGGCGUAGGUGGCAGAGCAGGGACGCGGAUUCCGACUGACACUUCGUCGUCAAGCUCUCGCCAUUUGUAACUCCUUGCUCCGCCGACCUCGACGCAAACUACAACUUCUCGCUCGCGCCUAUCCAGGAUCCGCUCUCGCCAUGGUACCGCCCUUUUUCUCGGUCUGUGAAUCCACCCCCAUCUCCCUGCUCCCUCCUGCAUUUGUUGUGGUUCUUGGAAGCAGGUUGCAGGGACGGACCCAAAUAGGGGACCAAGCAUUCCCUUAGAGUUUGCACGCUUGCUGAUGCAGUGCAAGCCUGCAACAUGCAGAGGUGCGCUAGUGCCAGGUGCGGCGAGUCAGCAGAUCAAGGAAACCGCCCGCGGCCGCCCCAGGGGUCCAGGUCUCCUCACGGCGACGGGAGAGCGCGAGCCUGUGAUGACCCGUGGCCGCGGCUAGGGUUCGCCGGGCGUGAGUCGGUAGCAGACCGGCGAAAAGAACGAAGCCAAGGACACCGGUGAGUUGGAUUUCGGUUAUCUGUUUUUCUAUUCCAUCUCAAUCAACCAGUUACAGUAUUUAUAGAUCUGAAAUCCAACUAACAGAACGACUAAUGACUUGGCUAAUCACUUAUUACAGCCCAAAGAAGAUUAAUACGGCCCUAUUAUGGCCCAAACCCUAAUACUCGAAAGACCCCCUAAUACUCCAUACCUGUGCCUAAGCACCGCCACCUUGGGUCAUCACAUCUCCCCCAGCGUCAAAAGACGCUUGUCCCCAAGCGUGCGCUGUAGGAAACCUUACUUUCACCACUUCAUAGUCUUCCCAGGUAGCCGCAUCUGCUGGAAGACCUGUCCAUUUGACCAGCACCUGGACAAUAGCAUUGUUUCCUUUACGUACCAUCCUUCGAUUCAGAAUUUGGUCAGGCUCAACAUCCCCUUGGGACAGAUCAACCAAGAGAGGAAGUUCAGUGUAAACUGGAGAAUAACACGGGUGAAACGGCUUAAGUUGAGACACAUGAAACACUGGAUGCACCUGAGCAUCGGGUGGCAAUUCCAACUUAUAUGCCACUGCCCCAACUCGAGCUAUAAUCUUGUAAGGCCCAAAAAACUUAAAAGACAAUUUAGGACAAGGCCGAUUCACCACUGUCUUCUGUGCAUAUGGUUGAAGUUUUAACAGCACCAAUUCUCCUACUUGAAACUCUCUUGGUGUUCUGCCCUUAUCAGCAUAUUGCUUCAUACGCAACUGUGCUCUAGCCAACUGUUCCUUCAACAUGGCAGAAAAAGCACUCCUUUCCUUGACCCACGUAGUGACAUCCGGGUCCUCAAUAUUGAUGAGUCUAGGAAGGGCUAGCAUAGGAGCAUCAUAACCAUAUAACACCCUGAAUGGUGUACAACCCAAAACAGCAUGAUAAGUGGUAUUGUACCAAUACUCCGCGAGAGCCAACCAACUCUUCCAUUUGGUGGGCUGAGAAUUGACAGCACACCGGAGAUACAUCUCCAAGCAUUGGUUCACACGUUCACUUUGGCCAUCAGUCUGUGGGUGAUAGGCUGUAGACAUCAACAGCUUGACCUCCAUCAACUGAAACAGGUUCUUCCAAAAACUGCUAGUGAACACUUUAUCCCUGUCAGAUACCAGCGAUUUGGGUACUCCAUGUAGCUUAACCACAUUGUCCAGAAAGACUUGUGCAACACCCUUUGCAGUAAAAGGAUGUUUCAAAGGAAAGAAAUGGCUAUAUUUCGAAAAUCUGUCCACCACCACUAAUAUUGUAUCAAACCCUUCCGACUUAGGCAAACCUUCAAUGAAAUCCAUAGUCACAUCUUCCCACACACCCUGUGGUACCGGCAAAGGUUGUAAUAACCCAGCUGGAUGAGUUCUUUCACUCUUAGCCUUUUGACAAAUUGCACACUGUUGCACAAACUGGACCACAUCUGCCUUUAAUCCCCUCCAAUAAAACACUUUCUUUACUCGUUGAUAAGUUGCCUGAGUACCAGAAUGACCACCAAUGGCACUAUCAUGCAAAGCUGCCACCAACUUGGUUCUCAGAGCAGAAUUAGCACCAAUCCAAAUCCUGCCUGCCUUACGAAUAAUGCCUUGAUACAAUGAAAACCCAUUCUCAUCAGGACUGCGCACCAACAAUUGAGCUAUCAACUGUUGAGCUUCAGCAUCAGUAGCAUAAGAAUUCAGCACCUCCUGUACCCAAACUGGUUGCACUUCAGAAAUGGCAGCCAAGUCCAGUACUGAACUCCUCCUUGACAAUGCAUCAGCAACGACAUUCUCUGCCCCCUUUUUAUAUACAAUCUGAAAUUGCAAUCCCAUUAACUUGGUCAUAGCCUUCUUUUGAAGAUCUGACUGCAAUUGCUGGUCUCCCAAGAAUGUCAAAGAUUUGUGAUCUGUCUUAAUCACAAAUGCACCCCUCUGCAAAUAUUGCCUCCACUUAUCUACAGCCAUAAUCAAAGCCAAAAACUCCUUCUCAUAUAUAGAAAUAUGUUUGUUCUUUUCUCCCAAAGCUUUACUAAGAAAGGCAAUGGGUCUGCCCUGUUGCAUCAACACCGCUCCGAGACCCACAUCUGAUGCAUCUGUCUCGACUGUAAAAGGCAGAUCAAACCUGGGCAGAGCAAGAACCGGUGUUGAAGCCAUAGCCUGUUUCAACUUAUGAAAAGCAACCUGAGCAUCUUCAGACCACUGAAACACCUGUUGUUUCUGCAACAGCUUAGUAAGAGGUCGAGCAAUAAUACCAUAAUCUUUCACAAAUUUCCUGUAAUAGCCUGUUAAACCUAAGAAUCCCCUCAACUCCGUCACAUUCUUAGGUUGUGGCCAGGACAACAUAGCUUCAGUUUUACUAGAAUCUGUGGCCACCCCAUCUCUUGAAAUCACAUGACCCAAAUAUUUGAGUUCAUGCUUCACAAAGGAGCAUUUCUUCAUCUUUAAGAAAAACUGGUGCUCUCUCAGCUUGGCCAACACCAUCCUAAUAUGUUGAUAAUGCACUUCCAAACUAGGGCUGUAAAUGAGAAUAUCAUCCAAGAAAACCAUAACAAAUUUUCUGAGAAAAGUCUCCAACACUGAGUUCAUGGCACACUGGAAACUAGCUGGUGCAUUAGUGAGACCAAAAGGCAUCACUCGAAACUGAUAAUGGCCAUGAUGUGUUUUAAAAGCAGUCUUGUAUUCAUCCUCAGUUCCCAUUCGAAUUUGAUGAUAUCCUGCUGUCAUGUCAAGACUGGUAAAAUACUGUGCACCAGCUAAUUCAUCCAGGAUCUCAUCCACCAUAGGCAUAGGAAACCUGUUCUUUAUAGUCAUUCCAUUUAACUUCCUGUAAUCUAUACAGAACCUCCAGCUGCCAUCUUUUUUUUGCACAAGUAAAACUGGAGAAGCAAACGGACUUACACUAGGAACUAUCAACCCUGCUGCUAGCAGUUCAGUAAUUUGCUUUUCAAUCUCAGUUUUGUGAGCUGGAGAAUAUCGAUAAGGCCUUGAGUUUACUGGAAUAGACCCUGGCAACAGAGGAAUGUGAUGAUCAUAAGGUCUGAUUGGAGGCAAUUUCGAAGGCACAGCAAAAACAUCUUCGAAUUCCUUUAAAAUCUCCUGUAGAACUGCAUCAUUUUUCCCAAUUGUUUCUUCUGAAACCUGCUCUAAAAGCACAAAUACCCAGACUUCCUCUCCCUUCAUCCAUUUCUCCAGCUGCAACACAGAUACUUGUCGCACUUCCUGCACUUCUCUAGCACCACCCUGUAACCUGACCUUCUUCCCUUGAUCAGUAAAGGUUAAUACCUUGUUAUUCCAGUCACACUCCAUAGGACUGUGAGCCUUCAGCCAAUCAUACCCCAGGAUCACAUCAUAUGCUUCCAAGUCUAACACCCUCAUAGCAGUGUUGUACAGGUGCCCCCCAGAACUCCACACUACUUCCUUAACUCUUUUGUCACUGAUCAUAGCUGCUCCAUUUGCCACCUUAACCCGCACAGUGGAACAAUCUUCAGUGAUCAACCCCAAUUUUGCUACAAUUCUCUGGCUGAUAAAAGUUGCAGAGCUACCAGAAUCAAUGAGCAUGACCAACAUCUGAUCCUGAACCAGAGCUUGGACCCUCAUACAUCCAUCACAUUCCGUGCCACUAAUAGCAUUCCAGGACAACUGAUGUAACUCCUCCACACACUUCUCCUCAUCUUCCAACUUCUGCAAUACCUCAUCAGUCAAAACCAGGCCCAUAUCUUCCACGGUCAGAUUAUGCAGUUGAGUUACCACCCUCUUGGGACAUUUUGCUUGAUGGCCUGGCUCAAAUUUAUCUCCACAAAUAAAACACAACCCAUUCGCUCUUCUAUAUUCUCUCAACUGUCUUUCCUUGCUCAACUCAGGAUACAAUAUUCCUGCCCUAUUCUCCCCCCUUACUCCUGCAACCUGAGUUUUAAGAACUUGUCCCUUUUGGUUUCUAACUCUAUUCUUCUCUGCAAUCUCCUGAUACACCUUGGCCAACCUCUUCGCCUUAUCCACUGUCUUAGGCAUCCGAGCCAUGACUUGAUUCUGAAUUUCAGGUUUCAACCCUUUAAUAUAGUGUGUCACAAACAGGGUCUCACCUAACUCAGGAUUAUGCAGGGUAGCAACAUAUCUAAUAUCAUCAAAAGCUUGAGAGUACUCCUCCACUCCUUGCUGCUGAGUCACAUUAACCAAAUCUCUCAUAGCUUGAGGGUAUUCAUCCACUCCAAACUGCUCCCUAACUGCUUGUGUAAACUGCCCCCAAUCACCCAAUCCAUGUUUCAGCUUAUACACUUGUAACCACUUCGACGCAUUCCCCUCCAUGUGCAUAGAAGCUGAACUCGCCCACAACCACUCCGGCACCUGGUAAACAGUGAAAUAAUCAACACACCGAUCAAACCAGACUCCCGGAUCACUGCCCUGAAACUUGGGAAAUGUCCACUUCGGAAAUGGGCCUGUCCUAUUCUCUCUUCCUCCACCCCACUGCUCUCUACGAUCUCUUCCACGCUCCAUUCCUCCACCCCGAUCAUCCCCUCGAGGAACACGCAGCUCGCGCUCAGAGUUUGUGUCAUUACCUUCCUGCUCCUUCGCUUGCAAAUCCAAUCGCAGCUGCGCAAUAGUUCUCUCGUUCUCCUCCAUGUGUCGAGCCAACAGUGCUCGAUCUUCCUCUGCCUUCUUCUGCCCGAUCUCCAUCGCUUCCAUCUUCCCGGUCAACCGUUCCACCGCCAGCAUCAUCCGCUCCCAGCGCUCCUCCCCUUUUUGCUCGGUCCCCGCCAUUGCUUCCAGGAUCAGCCGCGUCUGAACGGAUGGCUUCGUGGAAGGCGCCGUGAUGCCCACCCUCCGAGGAUCAACAGCUCUGAUACCACUUGUGAUGACCCGUGGCCGCGGCUAGGGUUCGCCGGGCGUGAGUCGGUAGCAGACCGGCGAAAAGAACGAAGCCAAGGACACCGGUGAGUUGGAUUUCGGUUAUCUGUUUUUCUAUUCCAUCUCAAUCAACCAGUUACAGUAUUUAUAGAUCUGAAAUCCAACUAACAGAACGACUAAUGACUUGGCUAAUCACUUAUUACAGCCCAAAGAAGAUUAAUACGGCCCUAUUAUGGCCCAAACCCUAAUACUCGAAAGACCCCCUAAUACUCCAUACCUGUGCCUAAGCACCGCCACCUUGGGUCAUCACAGAGCCAAUGUGGAGCGGUUAGUUGGUCGCUGCUGCCAAUUGUUCUGCGCUUAUAAAAUUUCAAGGUUGUUACAUUUGAAUUGUUAUUGGAAAUUUCAAGGUCAGUAGCAGUGCUCGAUUGAUUUCAAGUACAUGGUAUUUCCCCUCCGUCCUAAGGCAUGUAAUUAGCCCCAAUUGAAACUUCUUGGUUUAUUUCAGUGCUCCAGUAUAUUUAUUGCCAGAGAUAAAAGCAUAUGCCUUGGUCAGUGACUUAAGCUUAGAAAAAGUACAAUACUUUAUGUAUGAAUUCAGAAAUCCCAAUGAUAUUCAUUCUGAAUAUGUGCAAAUGCAGGUAACUUUGGUCUUGCCAAUGUAUUGACAUCAGAUGAUCUUGUGUCUUCUAUAAGUAUACUUGAAAAAUUUUUAGUCUUGCAUUUAUUUGCUGGUGUUUCUUGUUACCGUAUUUUCUCCAACAAAGGUGGUAGUAACACCGAGUUAUAUGUGCCUAGAACUUCUUGCUGAUAUACCAUAUGGUACUAAAUCCAAUAUUUGGUCUCUAGGUGUGUACCACUUCAGUGUCAUAAACUAUGUUUCUGCACCUAGAUAGAAUGAGCUUGCGAUCUAAUACUUGAAUUUUACAGAAUGUUGCAUUUGACAAAUGACUACUCUCAGGCCUGCAAACUGCACAUUACAACGUGAAGUUGGUUAUUGAAAGGGCGCCCAUAGCUGCAAACAUAGCUGUGACCACAUGAUGAUGACGAUUUACUACAGCAGGCACUUGCAAUGUCAAUGGAGGGUGGUGCUUCAGGAUCUGCAGCUGUGACUGACUCUGCUAUGGCAGAAGCUAGUGCAGUUGACCCUGACUUAGCGUUGGCUUCCUGGUGUUGAUCCCAAUGAUCCAUCUGUUAAAGAUUUGUUGGCAUCAUUGCACAACCAGGGAGAGCAAGAGAAGAAGGAAGACAAGUAAGACAAAACAGAAGACGAGAAGAACUGCUUCAAGCUGGAGUGAUGUCGCUGUGGUGCUUUUGUGACUGAUCAUCUCUGGAGCUUUUGUGAAUGAUCUAGCUAGCUAUUUGUAAAUGAUCUA
Molecule: non-coding RNA, 6812 nt
Organism: Zea mays
Lineage: Eukaryota; Viridiplantae; Streptophyta; Magnoliopsida; Poales; Poaceae
Source: RefSeq, a predicted model, not a curated record